UACAGAGGUCCCGAGCGUUGUUCGGAUUCACUGGGCGUAAAGGGUGCGUAGGUGGUUCGGUAAGUCGGGUGUUAAACCCCCAGGCUCAACCUGGGGACGCCACUCGAUACUGCUGUGACUAGAGUCCGGUAGGGGAGCGUGGAAUUCCUGGUGUAGCGGUGAAAUGCGCAGAUAUCAGGAGGAACACCAGCGGCGAAGGCGGCGCUCUGGGCCGGUACUGACACUGAGGAGCGAAAGCGUGGGUAGCAAACAGG
This 254-nucleotide ribosomal RNA is filed under the name uncultured bacterium. RNAcentral's name for it is "partial 16S ribosomal RNA". It matches the Rfam family "Bacterial small subunit ribosomal RNA", at positions 524 to 776 of the family's 1533-position model. The record is from RNAcentral.